GACGUAGGGCGCAAGCGUUGUCCGGAAUUACUGGGCGUAAAGAGCUCGUAGGUGGUUUGUCGCGUUGUUCGUGAAAACUCACAGCUUAACUGUGGGCGUGCGGGCGAUACGGGCAGACUGGAGUACUGCAGGGGAGACUGGAAUUCCUGGUGUAGCGGUGGAAUGCGCAGAUAUCAGGAGGAACACCGGUGGCGAAGGCGGGUCUCUGGGCAGUAACUGACGCUGAGGAGCGAAAGCGUGGGGAGCGAACAGG
This 253-nucleotide ribosomal RNA is filed under the name uncultured bacterium. Its description in RNAcentral is "partial 16S ribosomal RNA". It matches the Rfam family "Bacterial small subunit ribosomal RNA", at positions 524 to 776 of the family's 1533-position model. The record is from RNAcentral.